RNAcentral lists this ribosomal RNA (950 nucleotides) under Rana taihangensis. Its description in RNAcentral is "partial 16S ribosomal RNA". It matches the Rfam family "Bacterial large subunit ribosomal RNA", at positions 970 to 2561 of the family's 2925-position model. Lineage: Eukaryota; Metazoa; Chordata; Amphibia; Anura; Ranidae. The record is from RNAcentral.
UUUAGACUUAAGAGCUAUUCAAAUAAGGCACAGCUUAUUUGAAAUAGGACACAACCUACAACAUAGGGUAAACUAGAGUGACCUAAAUAAAGUGGGCCUAAAAGCAGCCACCUUUAGAAAAGCGUUAAAGCUUAACUACCUUCACUCAUAAUGCCUAAAAUCUCCACUAACCCUUCAUUACUACUGAACAAUUUUAUACUCAUAUAAAAGCUAUCAUGCUAGAACUAGUAACAAGAAACUGCUUUUCUCCUAAAUGUAAACAUAAACCAAAAUAGACUCUCUAUUGGUUAUUAACGUAAAUGCUAAACUGUAGCAACACUCACUAGAAAAUCCUAUAAACCCCAACGUUAACCUUACACCAGAACAUUACAGGAAAGAUUAAAAGAAAAAGAAGGAACUCGGCAAAUUUUAGCCUCGCCUGUUUACCAAAAACAUCGCCUCUUGACAAAACAUAAGAGGUCCAGCCUGCCCAGUGACAAAGUUCAACGGCCGCGGUACCCUAACCGUGCAAAGGUAGCACAAUCACUUGUUCUUUAAAUGAGGACUCGUAUCAACGGCACUACGAGGGCUAUACUGUCUCCUUUUUCUAAUCAGUGAAACUGAUCUCCCCGUGAAGAAGCGGGGAUUAUAAUAUAAGACGAGAAGACCCCAUGGAGCUUUAAACUCACCAUGCACCUCUGUGCUCCUAUACCCCUAAACACAACAGACCUGCAUGUUAGUUUUAGGUUGGGGUGACCACGGAGUAUAACUUAACCUCCACAGCAAACGGGCUAAUACCCUUAUCCACGAGACACAACUCUAAGAAUUACUAAAUUAAUGCUUACGACCCGAUAUUCGAUCCAUGAACCAAGUUACCCUGGGGAUAACAGCGCAAUCUACUUCAAGAGCCCAUAUCGACAAGUAGGUUUACGACCUCGAUGUUGGAUCAGGGUAUCCCGGUGGUGCAGCCG